This 536-nucleotide ribosomal RNA is filed under the name uncultured bacterium. RNAcentral describes it as "bacterial SSU rRNA". It matches the Rfam family "Bacterial small subunit ribosomal RNA", at positions 777 to 1304 of the family's 1533-position model. The record is from RNAcentral.
AAUAGAUACCCUGGUAGUCCACGCCCUAAACGAUGUCUACUAGUUGUUGGUGGAGUAAAAUCCAUUAGUAACGCAGCUAACGCGUGAAGUAGACCGCCUGGGGAGUACGGUCGCAAGAUUAAAAACUCAAAGGAAUUGACGGGGGGCCCGCACAAGCGGUGGAUUAUGUGGAUUAAUUCAAUGCAACGCGAAAAACCUUACCUGGCCUUGACAUGCCACUAACGAAGCAGAGAUGCAUUAGGUGCCCGAAAGGGAAAGUGGACACAGGUGCUGCAUGGCUGUCGUCAGCUCGUGUCGUGAGAUGUUGGGUUAAGUCCCGCAACGAGCGCAACCCUUGCCAAUAAUUGCCAUCAUUCAGUUGGGCACUUUAAUUGGGACUGCCGGUUGACAAACCGGGAGGAAGGUGGGGAUGACGUCAAGUCCUCAUGGCCCUUAUGGCCAGGGCUUCACACGUAAUACAAUGGUCGGUACAGAGGGUAGCCGAAGCCGCGAGGUGGAGCCAAUCCCAGAAAGCCGAUCGUAGUCCGGAUUGCAGU